Molecule: ribosomal RNA, 1029 nt
Filed under: Pseudarthrobacter enclensis
Lineage: Bacteria; Bacillati; Actinomycetota; Actinomycetes; Micrococcales; Micrococcaceae
Description: bacterial SSU rRNA
Rfam family: Bacterial small subunit ribosomal RNA
Source: RNAcentral
AUGGCCUACCAAGGCGACGACGGGUAGCCGGCCUGAGAGGGUGACCGGCCACACUGGGACUGAGACACGGCCCAGACUCCUACGGGAGGCAGCAGUGGGGAAUAUUGCACAAUGGGCGCAAGCCUGAUGCAGCGACGCCGCGUGAGGGAUGACGGCCUUCGGGUUGUAAACCUCUUUCAGUAGGGAAGAAGCGUAAGUGACGGUACCUGCAGAAGAAGCGCCGGCUAACUACGUGCCAGCAGCCGCGGUAAUACGUAGGGCGCAAGCGUUAUCCGGAAUUAUUGGGCGUAAAGAGCUCGUAGGCGGUUUGUCGCGUCUGCCGUGAAAGUCCGGGGCUCAACUCCGGAUCUGCGGUGGGUACGGGCAGACUAGAGUGAUGUAGGGGAGACUGGAAUUCCUGGUGUAGCGGUGAAAUGCGCAGAUAUCAGGAGGAACACCGAUGGCGAAGGCAGGUCUCUGGGCAUUAACUGACGCUGAGGAGCGAAAGCAUGGGGAGCGAACAGGAUUAGAUACCCUGGUAGUCCAUGCCGUAAACGUUGGGCACUAGGUGUGGGGGACAUUCCACGUUUUCCGCGCCGUAGCUAACGCAUUAAGUGCCCCGCCUGGGGAGUACGGCCGCAAGGCUAAAACUCAAAGGAAUUGACGGGGGCCCGCACAAGCGGCGGAGCAUGCGGAUUAAUUCGAUGCAACGCGAAGAACCUUACCAAGGCUUGACAUGAACCGGACCGGGCUGGAAACAGUCUUUCCCCUUGUGGGCUGGUUUACAGGUGGUGCAUGGUUGUCGUCAGCUCGUGUCGUGAGAUGUUGGGUUAAGUCCCGCAACGAGCGCAACCCUCGUUCUAUGUUGCCAGCACGUGAUGGUGGGGACUCAUAGGAAACUGCCGGGGUCAACUCGGAGGAAGGUGGGGACGACGUCAAAUCAUCAUGCCCCUUAUGUCUUGGGCUUCACGCAUGCUACAAUGGCCGGUACAAAGGGUUGCGAUACUGUGAGGUGGAGCUAAUCCCAAAAAGCCGGUCUCAGUUCGGAUU